RNAcentral lists this ribosomal RNA (229 nucleotides) under uncultured bacterium. Its description in RNAcentral is "partial 16S ribosomal RNA". It matches the Rfam family "Bacterial small subunit ribosomal RNA", at positions 568 to 796 of the family's 1533-position model. The record is from RNAcentral.
UGCGUAGGCGGAAGGAUAAGUCAGUGGUGAAAUCCUACAGCUUAACUGUAGAACUGCCAUUGAUACUGUUGUUCUUGAGUAUAGUUGAGGUGGGCGGAAUGUGUCAUGUAGCGGUGAAAUGCUUAGAUAUGACACAGAACACCGAUCGCGAAGGCAGCUCGCUAAACUAUAACUGACGCUCAGGCACGAAAGCGUGGGGAGCAAACAGGAUUAGAUACCCUGGUAGUCC